RNAcentral lists this transfer RNA (89 nucleotides) under Photobacterium proteolyticum. RNAcentral's name for it is "tRNA-Asp". It matches the Rfam family "tRNA". Rfam says of the family: Transfer RNA (tRNA) molecules are approximately 80 nucleotides in length. The record is from RNAcentral. Lineage: Bacteria; Pseudomonadati; Pseudomonadota; Gammaproteobacteria; Vibrionales; Vibrionaceae.
AGAGCGGUAGUUCAGUUGGUUAGCCUAUUUNUUAGAAUACCGGCCUGUCACGCCGGGGGUCGCGGGUUCGAGUCCCGUCCACUCCGCCA